Molecule: long non-coding RNA, 247 nt
Organism: Syngnathus acus (greater pipefish)
Lineage: Eukaryota; Metazoa; Chordata; Actinopteri; Syngnathiformes; Syngnathidae
Exons: 3
Source: RefSeq, a predicted model, not a curated record
GUCUGGUGCCCGCUGGGCUGCGCCCAAACCUACAAGGUCUACGGAACACAGAUCUACCAACAAGAGUCAAACAUCUGCGCGGCUGCCAUUCACUCGGGCCUCAUUGAGAACAAGAUCGGAGGAAUCGUGACUUUGCAGAAGAGUGAGCCACAGAAGGCCUACAACAGCUCCGCCAGAAACGGGAUCGCCUCGAAAGAAUAUGUGAACAAAUUGGCUCCGUCUCCGUCUUACACGUUUGUUGACAAGG